UGCCACAGCCAUAUCACCCUGCAGCCCAAGACUGGUUGCCCCCUGAAGCUAAGCAGGGUUGAGUCUGGUCAGUACCUGGAUGGGAGACCUCCUGGGAAAACUAGGUUGCUGCUGGAA
RNAcentral lists this ribosomal RNA (117 nucleotides) under Sinocyclocheilus rhinocerous. The record is from RNAcentral. Lineage: Eukaryota; Metazoa; Chordata; Actinopteri; Cypriniformes; Cyprinidae.